UAAGACGUACCACCCAAACGUUAUUCGGAAUCACUGGGCUUACAGAGUCCGUAGGCGGCUCGGAAAGUUGGGCGUGAAAUACCUCAGCUCAACUGAGGAAUAGCGCUCAAAACUACCGAGCUGGAGAGAGACAGAGGUGAGCGGAACUGAUGGUGGAGCGGUGAAAUGCGUUGAUAUCAUCAGGAACACCGGUGGCGAAGGCGGCUCACUGGGUCUUUUCUGACGCUGAGGGACGAAAGCUAGGGUAGCGAACGGGAUUAGAUACCCCGGUAGUCCUAGCCUUAAACGAUGAGCACUAGAUCGAGGGGACCCUCACAUCCUCUUGGUCGUAGGGAAACUGUUAAGUGCUCCGCCUGGGGAGUAUGGUCGCAAGGCUG
RNAcentral lists this ribosomal RNA (377 nucleotides) under uncultured bacterium. RNAcentral describes it as "bacterial SSU rRNA". It matches the Rfam family "Bacterial small subunit ribosomal RNA", at positions 521 to 896 of the family's 1533-position model. The record is from RNAcentral.